GCAGCUCAGUGCAGUGGCAGAGCAUCUGUUUUGCAUGUAGAAGAUCCUGGGUUCAAUUCCCAGCAUCUCCA
Non-coding RNA from Podarcis lilfordi (Lilford's wall lizard), 71 nucleotides. NCBI's taxonomy places the organism in Eukaryota, Metazoa, Chordata, Lepidosauria, Squamata, Lacertidae. The record is from the annotation of a GenBank genome assembly.